UGAGGGUCAUGUUUGAGCUUCAUUACGUAAUCAUCUACAGUCUUGCUUCAAUUUUUUCCCGGCUGUUCUGGGCCAAUUGCACGGGAGAACGCAGCGGCGAGCGUCAUCUUGAAGGGGGAUGGCUCGUUUCCCAUGGCAUGUGCCGGUAAUUUCCUGGUAGAAUAUUGAUUCUUGUCUGUGAAUAUGUUGUCGUUUCUUGCCAGCGCAUAACCUGGCAGUAGACCUGUUUUGCACUAUAGGAUAUGUGUAUGCGUUUGCAAUGAGUGGAAACCGUCUGUUCUCGCUCAGCGGUGCAAAAAAGUCACUGCAGGAGAGAUGCCAAAGCACGAAGAAGAUCGCAACUGCCGCUGCGAGACUCUGUCUGCGGCACUUGAGGGAUCCGUUUUCUCAGGCACCUCUCCGUGUGACGGUUAAACAAGGCCCGAACUGUAUGAUCAAUCGUUUUCCCAACCUAACGGAGUUGUUAAAUGGGGGGGCAUUCGCAAACGCUAAAGAUGCUCCGGCGUUCAGGUUCCGCGGUGACAAAUACGCCCACUGCUACGGAGCGCCCAGUCGUGCUGAGAAAUCCACUGCAACUAGAAAAGGGGUUUUCUUCACUGUUCUUGCGGUUUUUGUUCUUUCUCUUUUUGGAAGCCCAGUGUGGUUCAUUUUUUUUUACAACAAGCACAAGGCGAAGUACGAGAAACUUGCUCGAGGUGACGAAGAUUGGUGAUACACAAAUAUGGCGUCGCUCCUUGCCAACGCGACCUUCUUUGUGCCUUCGCAGAGUGUUUCGUUCCCUGGUCUCAACGAGCUAGAGAUGCCAGUCCCUUCUAAAUGCGAUUUGUUGUAUGCACUACUGAUAUAAAAUCCCACAAUCAAAUAACUCGGCGUCUUGCGUGCGCGUGAAAGACAGGUUCUGUACACGGUUGAUAAUAACAUUUAAUGUGGAACGCGAGUAUCCUGAAGAUUCUAGCAGAGUAGCCACGGAAAUAACAGCAGACCCAAUCUUCAAAGUAGUAGGGGGGAACCUCCUGCAGGGCCGGGGGUUUCUACGCAAGGUAAGGGGGGACCCGCGAUGGAGGUCGCGCACAAACGCGUGCCUUGUUGGAGAGUUCUCUGGUGUCACUCUCGGCUGUGCAUGGUGUGGCCCCUAAUUUUCCGGUUGCCAGAUUGUUCCCUCGCUGAGGGAAGCUGGUGGCGAUGCCAUCGUCUAUCGGUUCCGCAGUGCACGGGGGCGUAAGAACUGGCUGGGGAGCUGACAGCAUUAAAAUCGAGCCUUUGUUAUGCAGUUUUAUCAGGUUGUCGGGGAGAAGACAUUUUUGAGGGAAUCGAGCGGGCUCUCAUAGCAGAAAGUGCUUCUCUGGCGGUGUCCAAAAACGCGGAAGCUUUUUGACUGUUAAGAGGUCGCACGGCCCCUGUGAAGGUGUACAACGCCUGAAGCGUCUGAAGGAGCGAGUCAAGCUCGUCCACAUCUUCGUCCGUGAGAGGAUUGUCUUUUUUCUCGAUCACAGCCUCAUUUUGACUCUCCUUUUCAGGCCUGCGCCGUGCUAGCUUCCGGACUGUGUCUGAGUCUUUCUUGAAACUAUGUGCAUCCUUAUCAAUAAUUUCUUGAGCCCUGAGCCAACGCAC
Molecule: long non-coding RNA, 1611 nt
Filed under: Toxoplasma gondii VEG
Lineage: Eukaryota; Apicomplexa; Conoidasida; Eucoccidiorida; Sarcocystidae
Source: RNAcentral